RNAcentral lists this microRNA precursor (116 nucleotides) under Hordeum vulgare. RNAcentral describes it as "microRNA MIR1122". It matches the Rfam family "MIR1120/MIR1122 microRNA precursor family". The record is from RNAcentral. Lineage: Eukaryota; Viridiplantae; Streptophyta; Magnoliopsida; Poales; Poaceae.
AUAGUACUCCCUCCGGCCCAAAAUAAGUGACUCAAAAAUGACUCAAUUUUGUACUAACUUUAGUACAAAGUUAAGUCAUUUUUGAGUCACUUAUUUUGGGACGGAGGGAGUAUAAU